AGAUCAGAGGAAUGCUUCUAGAAACUGAAAAACAUAAAGAUUAAUAGCAAACCACCAGAAGUUAAUGAAGAGGCAUGAAGAGAUUCUUUCUCACAGAGAAGGAACCAACUCCGCUGACCCCUCCAUCUUGGACUUCUAGCCUCCAAAAUUCCAUUCCUCUCUUCUGAGCUCCUCUCUGGCCAACUUUAACUCAUCGAUUGGUUCUGCCACCCGCAACGUUGGCUCCAAAGGCCUGUAGCGUUGUUCUAAUACUUCGGUGAUAUCUCGGAAGGGCCCCUGACAAGACAGGAUGAGGAACAUAUUUUAUAUGGAAGAUUUUUUUGAGGUUAUCACUAACAAGACACAGCUGGAGUUACUGCAAGCACUGAGUGAAGACUGUGGGGCUAAUAAAAAGAAAUGAUUCACGCCUC
Molecule: long non-coding RNA, 410 nt
Filed under: Homo sapiens (human)
Lineage: Eukaryota; Metazoa; Chordata; Mammalia; Primates; Hominidae
Description: HSALNT0298253
Source: RNAcentral